AAAAUGCGAUAACUAGUGUGAAUUGCAGAUUUACGUGAAUCAUCGAGUCUCUGAACGCAAAUUGCGCUCCAUGGUUAUUCCGUGGAGCAUACCUGUUUGAGUCUCACUUUUUUCCAUUCCCCCCUGGGGAAACAUGCAUUCUUCUGCCCCACAGGCAGAUGGUGUCAAACGCAAUCUCUUUUUUUGGGAACCGAGAAGAGCAGUGUGCCAAUACCACCUGUUCCGCUCCUCCCCCCAAAACAACCUUUGAGCUCAAAUCAGGCAGGACUACCCGCUGAACUUAA
Molecule: unclassified non-coding RNA, 284 nt
Filed under: uncultured fungus
Lineage: Eukaryota; Fungi
Description: sequence contains ITS1
Rfam family: 5.8S ribosomal RNA (bases 1-106)
Source: RNAcentral